GCAAGUCGAACGUGAAAGCACUUCGGUGUGAGUAGAGUGGCGGACGGGUGAGUAACGCGUGGGAAUCUACCCAGUAGUGGGGGACAACUACCGGAAACGGUAGCUAAUACCGCAUACGCCCUAUGGGGGAAAGGCUUCGGCCGCUAUUGGAUGAGCCCGCGUCAGAUUAGCUAGUUGGUAGGGUAAAGGCCUACCAAGGCAACGAUCUGUAGCUGGUCUGAGAGGACGAACAGCCACACUGGGACUGAGACACGGCCCAGACUCCUACGGGAGGCAGCAGUGGGGAAUAUUGGACAAUGGGCGAAAGCCUGAUCCAGCAAUGCCGCGUGUGUGAAGAAGGCCUGCGGGUUGUAAAGCACUUUCAGUUGGGAAGAUGAUGACGUUACCAACAGAAGAAGCACCGGCUAAAUCCGUGCCAGCAGCCGCGGUAAUACGGAUGGUGCGAGCGUUAAUCGGAAUUACUGGGCGUAAAGCGCGCGUAGGCGGCUAAGUCAGUCAGAAGUGAAAGCCCCGGGCUCAACCUGGGAAUUGCUUUUGAUACUGCUUAGCUAGAGUUUGGUAGAGGAUAGUGGAAUUCCAGGUGUAGCGGUGAAAUGCGUAGAUAUCUGGAGGAACAUCAGUGGCGAAGGCGACUGUCUGGACCAAAACUGACGCUGAGGUGCGAAAGCGUGGGUAGCAAACAGGAUUAGAUACCCUGGUAGAAGGGC
This 707-nucleotide ribosomal RNA is filed under the name uncultured Gammaproteobacteria bacterium. RNAcentral's name for it is "bacterial SSU rRNA". It matches the Rfam family "Bacterial small subunit ribosomal RNA", at positions 57 to 795 of the family's 1533-position model. Lineage: Bacteria; Pseudomonadati; Pseudomonadota; Gammaproteobacteria. The record is from RNAcentral.